Molecule: ribosomal RNA, 799 nt
Filed under: Macrolepiota dolichaula
Lineage: Eukaryota; Fungi; Basidiomycota; Agaricomycetes; Agaricales; Agaricaceae
Description: partial large subunit ribosomal RNA
Rfam family: Eukaryotic large subunit ribosomal RNA
Source: RNAcentral
UAGUAACUGCGAGUGAAGCGGGAAAAGCUCAAAUUUAAAAUCUGGCGGUCUCUGGCCGUCCGAGUUGUAAUCUAGAGAAGUGCUGCCCGCGCUGGACCGUGUACAAGUCUCCUGGAAUGGAGCGUCAUAGAGGGUGAGAAUCCCGUCUCUGACACGGACUACCAGGGCUUUGUGGUACGCUCUCAAAGAGUCGAGUUGUUUGGGAAUGCAGCUCAAAAUGGGUGGUAAAUUCCAUCUAAAGCUAAAUAUUGGCGAGAGACCGAUAGCGAACAAGUACCGUGAGGGAAAGAUGAAAAGAACUUUGGAAAGAGAGUUAAACAGUACGUGAAAUUGCUGAAAGGGAAACGCUUGAAGUCAGUCGCGUUGGCCGGGGAUCAGCCUCGCUUUUUUGCGUGGUGUACUUUCUGGUUGGCGGGUCAGCAUCAAUUUUGACCGCUGGAAAAAGGCUUGGGGAAUGUGGCAGCUUCGGCUGUGUUAUAGCCCUUUGUCACAUACAGCGGUUGGGAUUGAGGAACUCAGCACGCCGCAAGGCCGGGUUUCGACCACGUUCGUGCUUAGGAUGCUGGCAUAAUGGCUUUAAGCGACCCGUCUUGAAACACGGACCAAGGAGUCUAACAUGCCUGCGAGUGUUUGGGUGGAAAACCCGAGCGCGUAAUGAAAGUGAAAGUUGAGAUCCCUGUCGUGGGGAGCAUCGACGCCCGGACCAGAACUUUUGGGACGGAUCCGCGGUAGAGCAUGUAUGUUGGGACCCGAAAGAUGGUGAACUAUGCCUGAAUAGGGUGAAGCCAGAGGAAACUCU